CUCUGUGUUGCUAUUAAUUGUUACAUUCCUGAACCCCCUCCAGAAGCACACCAGGGUCAAGUCUACCGUACUCCGUGCCCCUUCAGUGUCUAGCGCAAUGCUUGCCACGUAAGCAUCAUUGCUACAGCUAUCUUUUCCUCUCGUUUUUGUGGAGAAAUAAUCGACACACACCACUGUAUACAUUUAAGGCAUCCAGUGUCAGGGUUUGAUUUACAUUUAGUUAUUUUAAGAAGCACUUACCCCAAUCCUGAAGUGGGUGCUCCUUUCUUCCUCAUUUGGGGAUGGGAAAAUAAGGUUCAGAGAGGUUGAGAAGCCCAGCUAAGAUCGCACGGCUGGAGGUGGCCCAGCUGGGAUCUGACCCCUCCGAGGGCUGUCUUAUGAACUGUGUCAGCCUCCCUCUGUCAUACUGAGCAAGUGUUUGUUGAAUGACUGGCAGGGUUGACGUGCAGUGAUGGGUGGAUGCGUUUGAACAGCUGGCCUGUGCCAGCUACAGCUGUUUAUCAGGGACCCGAAGAGAGAAGGUAAUCCCAUCUGGGGGUUGGGGUCAGGCGUGGAGAUCUACCAGAGAUUUAGAUGUUCUGGUGGGGUCCAGAGCCACCCAGGGGUGUUUGCAGCCUUCAAAUGACAUAGCAGAAUCUGGUUUCCAAGGCAGAGGGUUCUCCAAGCCCUUACCGUGAUGGGAAGCACCUUUUUCAGGGAUAGCUGGCAAGAUUAUGCAGCUGACAAGUCCUCGUCUCAGCAGCCUGGUUCAAGAGCCCAUGUCUUAGUCACUGUUCAGUGUGUCGCCCCGUCUAAGCGCUCUUACUGGCCACCUGAUUCCUGCAAUGCCUCUUCUUGUUGCCCCUUGGGCCUCAUCUAUUACCCCACACCCCUUGGUCUCUCUGCUCCAUCCAGCCACACUAGCCUCCUUGCUGCUCUCUGAGCAUGCUGAGUGCACGCUCACCCCAGGACCUUUGCACAUGCUUCUCCAGUGUUCAGAAUGCUCUGUGUCACCCAGGUGGUUUGCCUGACUUGCCUCCCCUCCUUCAGGCCUUUGCUGAAGUGUUGUCUUCUCAAGGAGGCUUACCCAGAUCAUCUUUUUAAAAAUUCAAACCCCACUUCUCAGUAGUCUCUAGCCGCCCCCUGCUUAAUUUUUCCACAGCACUUACCAGCAUCUGUCAUUCUCUUUAUUUUACUUAUUAAUUGGUUGAUUAUCUGUCUCCCUCGACUAGAAUAUAAAUCCCAUGAAGACAAGAGAUUUUGGUCCGUCUUGUUCAUGGCUGUGUCUCUAUGCCUAGAACAGUGCCUGGCACAGAGUUAGUGUUUUGUNNNNNNNNNNNNNNNNNNNNNNNNNNNNNUGCUUGAAUCCAGGAUCUCUCCAUCAUCGUAUCUUUGAUGAGCAGGUCCAAAGACAGAUCCCGUGGUACACCAUCAGAGACCUCCUGCAGGCUGACAUUGAUUCAUUUAUCAGCAUCCCUCAAAUUGGGUCACGUGACAGAUUAUGAAUCUAGUUAACCAUCCAGUCUCUCAGCCCUGACACAUAAGCUCCCAGAGGAAAGAAGGUGGGUCCAAUUUGUUUGAUUUUAUGAGCAAAAUACAUUUAAUACUCUGCUUUGUACACUGUAAUAUUUAAUACAUAUUUGCUGAAAAAACAAAAACAAACAUCAAAAAGAGCAGCAGGGAAAAGGUCUCCUCCAAAGUAAUCUGCAAACUAUCAACGUCUUGUUUCCUUAUGAUGCUUGUCAAUUCCCACGGGCCCCUUGCCACCCUAAGCCCCGUACCCCAGUCUUGGUGGGGGAAUAGCAUCUGUUUACGUCCAGAUAGGAUGCGACUGAGCAACUAACGCGCUUUCUUAGGGGCCUGACGGCUCUGAAAGGAAUGAACAGAGAGAAAUCAGCUGAUACUCUUUAGGGGAAUCAGGGAAAAUAUUAUGCAGUUUAAUGUAUUUAAACACAAAUUGUUUGCUCUGACGAGAGGCCCUGGGGAAACUGGAGAGAGCCUGGCGGGUUGAGUGUGGAGUAGAAAAACAGAGAUUCCACCCUCUCGCUUCGUGGAGGUCACGUGGAAAAACUGGAGCUCCAAGCGCCUUUAAACAGGUUAUUUCUUUGGUGCCCAUGAAGCACACGUACUUUUUACCAAAAUAUCCCAUUGCGUCCUCAUGACAGUCACUUCCUGUCUUUCACAGUAGGAGAAACAGAGGCACACAGCAGGCCGGGGACUUGCCCAGGGCUGCAGAGGGCGCUGGGGAACGACGGGAGGAAGUCCCAGGCUCACUG
Molecule: long non-coding RNA, 2255 nt
Filed under: Capra hircus (goat)
Lineage: Eukaryota; Metazoa; Chordata; Mammalia; Artiodactyla; Bovidae
Description: lncRNA (ENSCHIG00010012608.1)
Source: RNAcentral